RNAcentral lists this long non-coding RNA (758 nucleotides) under Homo sapiens (human). RNAcentral's name for it is "non-protein coding LINC02080:7". The record is from RNAcentral. Lineage: Eukaryota; Metazoa; Chordata; Mammalia; Primates; Hominidae.
GUGGCAACCACCUCAAGUCUUUUGGAAGCUGUGUUCUUUUGCUGUUUGUGGUAUUGCUGCUGUCUGCUCUUUGGGUCCAUACUGCUUUUAUGAGUUAUAGUACCACAAAGGUUUGCAGCUUCACUCCUGAAGUCAGGGAGAGCUGGAACCCACAGGGGGGAACGAACAACUCUAGAAGUGCUGCCUUAAGAGCUGUAACUCUCACCGCAAAGGCCUGCAGCUUCACUACUGAGCUAGUGAGACCACGAACCCACCAGAAUGAAAAAACUCUGAACACGUCUGAAUAUCAGAAGGAACAAACUCUGGACACGCUGCCUUUAAGAACUGUAACGCUCAUCGCGGGGGUCUGUGGCUUCAUUCUCGUAGUCAGUGAGAUGAAGAACCCACUAAUUCCGGACACAAUAUGAUACGGAGGUGGUUAAAUUACGUGGCCCAAUCAAGGGUGGGUCAGCCGAACUGCAGUGAGGACUUGGGUCAGCUUGGUGAAGUUCACGUUUGGGCUUUAUCCUCUCCCUGGAAUUUUGUGUCUCCCAGGCAAUUUCUGUUGCCUGUGCUUUUGAGUGAAAGGGUCUCGUCUGUCACCCAGGCUGGAGUCCAGUGGCACGAUCACAGCUCACUGCAGCCUCAACCAACCAGGCUCAAGCAAUCCUCCUACCUCAGCCUCCCGAGUAGCUGGGACUAACAGGUAGGCACCAUCAUGCUCGGCUACUUUUUGUAUUUUCUUUUUUAUAGAGGUGGGGUUUUGCCAUGUUGCCCAG